This 318-nucleotide ribosomal RNA is filed under the name uncultured bacterium. RNAcentral's name for it is "bacterial SSU rRNA". It matches the Rfam family "Bacterial small subunit ribosomal RNA", at positions 28 to 334 of the family's 1533-position model. The record is from RNAcentral.
GAUGAACGCUGGCGGCGUGCUUAACACAUGCAAGUCGAGCGAAACACUUAUGAUUUCUUCGGAUUGAAUGAGUGACUGAGCGGCGACGGGUGAGGUAACGCGUGGGUAACCUGCCUCACACAGGGGGAUAACAGUUAGAAAUGACUGCUAAUACCGCAUAAGACCACAGCACCGCAUGGUGCAGGGGUAAAAACUCCGGUGGUGUGAGAUGGACCCGCGUCUGAUUAGCUAGUUGGCAGGGUAACGGCCUACCAAGGCAACGAUCAGUAGCCGACCUGAGAGGGUGAUCGGCCACAUUGGGACUGAGACACGGCCCAA